ACGGAAGGUCCAGGCGUUAUCCGGAUUUAUUGGGUUUAAAGGGAGCGUAGGCCGUCUGUUAAGCGUGUUGUGAAAUGUAGAUGCUCAACAUCUGAAUUGCAGCGCGAACUGGCAGACUUGAGUGUGCGCAACGUAGGCGGAAUUCGUGGUGUAGCGGUGAAAUGCGUAGAUAUCACGAAGAACUCCGAUUGCGAAGGCAUCUUACAGGAUCACAUCUGCCGCUGGAGCUCGUAAGUGCGUGUAUCGAACAG
RNAcentral lists this ribosomal RNA (251 nucleotides) under uncultured prokaryote. Its description in RNAcentral is "partial 16S rRNA". It matches the Rfam family "Bacterial small subunit ribosomal RNA", at positions 525 to 775 of the family's 1533-position model. The record is from RNAcentral.